GGAAAUGUGCCUGAACAUCAAGGGCCACUUUGAUAGAGUGUUACAUAGGGGUGAAAAUCCCCUCAUCUCCU
Molecule: transfer RNA, 71 nt
Filed under: Leiocephalus personatus (Haitian curlytail lizard)
Lineage: Eukaryota; Metazoa; Chordata; Lepidosauria; Squamata; Leiocephalidae
Description: tRNA-Ile
Source: RNAcentral